GCUUCUGUCCAUUGGUUGAGUUCCCAAAUGGCUGCAACAGCCAGAUUUGGGCCAGGCUGAAGCCAGGAGCCUGGCACUCCAUACAGGUCUCCAUGUGAAUGGCAGGGGCCCAGGUACUGGAGCCAUCAUCUGCGGCUUUCCCAGGCACCUGAGCAAGGGGCUGGCCUGGAAGUGGAAUUGCUGGGUCUAGAACCUGCGCUCAUACGAGAUGCCAGCAGCAUCACAGGCAGUGGGUUAACCCCUGCAUGACAGUGCCAGCCCCAGAUAAAUACAUUUUAAAAUAAUUACAAUUAUGUUGAGAAAAUUCUGGAGCCAGAGUGCCUCGAUUCUGAUCUUGGCUUUGCUAUGUGACCUUGAAGAAAGUGAGUCACAGAGUAACUAACUGACUCACUUUCUUCAUUUGUAAAAUGCUCAAUAAAUGCAUUUUGAAAUUGAAAGAAGGGUAGUAAUCCUACUAAUAUGGUUAUCAGGAUCAUUAAAUGACUCCAUAUUUUAUAAAAUGAUUAGAAAAUUGCCUGACAUCCAGUAAGUGGCUGUAGAUGCACUUGUCAAAAUGAAAUCAAAAGAGAAGUCACUUUUGGGGGCUUGGGUGUGCACCUCAGGUCCCAUCUUUGAGACACUUGUGAUAUUUAAGCAGAAGUUAAUCCUUUCACUACCAAGACUCAUGGAGCAUGAAGCUCCCCCAUACGCCUGUCUGAAAGCAGCCACAGGGGUGGUUUCCUUUUGACAGAAAAGGCCCUGUAGAGAAUGUGGGCUUGCAGAGAAGGAGGGGCUGUGACUACCAACUCGUGUCACCAAGUGACCCACCAAAAUACCCAAACUUGCCCAUGCAAAUGGGCCUGGGUCUCUCCUGGCAGUCUCUAUAGAAGCUACUAGAAUGUGUUUGAGCUCCAUUUUGAGAGGGUCUUUGCAGCCAGCCAGCGACUUCUGAAUCUUCCCACAUCUUUCUUGCCAAGGGGUGAGGGUGGGAAGAAAGGGGUGAACGCCUGCAUCUCUACCCUUUAUGUUCAGUUAGGUACACAGUCCCCAGCCAGUGUGUGCGGGAGCUGGUAUGGCCUGCGUCUCCCUCACCUUCCACUCCCCAAAUUGCCAACUUCUGUAGAUGUAGUACUUGAAUUUGGACAAUGGUGAAAUCUUUGGAAAUGCAUCUUGUUCAUGGAGUUAAAGGAUCAGAUGGCCAGUGUGCAUUCCGUCUUUCCUUUACCAGCAAUGACAAAAGGGCCUACAUGAUUACAGGAGCCCCCUAACCAGUCUUCCUUUCUCUACCCCACUCUUCACUCUCUCUCAGCAGCCAGGGGCAUCUGUUAAACUGCAAACCAGAUCACAGGACUCCUCUGCCCCAAGUCCUCACUCCUGUGGAGUCCCAACUCACUGAGGAUAAACUCCCAUGAGCCUACUAUGUCCUACAAGGCCUACCCUUGCAGGCACUUUCUUCCUUGUUCGCCCCUUCUUGCUGUGGGCUAUACGUACCUGAGUAGAAGCUGGCCUCGGGACUUUACCCAUACUGCCCUUUUUGGGAGCACUCUUUCCCCUGUAUACCUACCUGGCUCAUUUCCUCACUACAGGCUAGCGUCUACUCAGAUAUCAGCUCCCAGAGAGGCCUUCUCUACCCCGCCCCCCCAAACUCAUUCCAUUCCCCUGAUUUCUGUCAUUAUCCAUAGUACUGUUGAGUUGCUGAUACUAUUGCAGUUUUGCACUCUUUAAUGGGUUGUAGGCCUAGUUAAGAAAGAGAUAUUGUUUUAUUCAUUAGGGUAUCUACAGCAACCAGAACAUUCUGUUAUGGGUGCUCACUAAGUAUUUAAACAAUGCCAUUUUGAGUUAGGAAUAGGGUAUGUCUGACAAAGCUCUAUACCUGAUGUUUCUUGUGCACCUGCUAAGUUUGCCCUGAAACCACUUCUGGAAUUCUCCAGGUAAUUUCUGAAUGAGAGUAACCCUGGAGAAGUAUUUAAUGUCCCAAAAUGAAGAGAUGGAAAACCAACCUGCAUUUGAUGUGAUGAGUCCUCCUACAUGUGUUUAAAAAUCCUCCCCAUAACAUUAACUCCACCCUGUCCCUUUGCUCCUGGGAACAGACAAGCAAUCCCAAAUACAAGGUCUUUGCAUCCCUCAGACCUGGAUUUCUCUCUGUGCUACUGUGAGAAUAAAAUGGCUGUUCCCUGCUGUUCUUCCUAUUGAAGCAUGGAUCUGCUUUCCCCUUGCCUGGCUUUCCUGGGAUGCAUGUUCUGAGGGAAGCACUGAGACCAUCAGGCUAUCGAGGCUGCUGCUGGGUGCUGUGGUCUGCAGCCUCCGCUAGCUGACAGCUGUCUGGUGCCAUCACGAAUGGUUGAUGCUCCUUUCUUCUAUGAGAUGACCAUGGCCCAGCUGAUAGCUGACCACAAGGGCAUAAGAAGAACCAAGUGAGAACCACUGAGCCAAGCCUCUCCUAAAAAUCAUGAAUGACUUGAAAUGAUGACUGGUUUAUAAGUCUUUUUUUAAAAAAUAUUUUAUUUAUUUAUUUGAGAAGUAGAGUUAGAGAGGGAGAGACAGGGAUCUUCCGUCCACUGGUUCACUCCCCAAAUGGCCACAAUGGCAGAAACUCGGCUAAUCCGAAGCCAGGAGCCAGGAGCUUCUUCCAAAUCUCCCAUGCAGCUGCAGGGACCCAAAUACUUGGGCCAUUUUCUUUCUUUCUUUCUUUCUUUCUUUCUUUCUUUCUUUCUUUCUUUCUUUCUUUCUUUCUUUCUUUCUCUCUCUCUCUCUCUCUCUCUCUCUCUCUCUCUCUCUCUCUUUCUUUCUUUCUUUCUUUCUUUCUUUCUUUACAGGCAGAGUGGACAGUGAGAGAGAGAGACAGAGAGAAAGGUCUUCCUUUUUGCCAUUGGUUCACCCUCCAAUGGGCGCUGCGGCCGGCACACUGCGGCCGGCACAUCGCGCUGAUCCGAAGCCAGGAGCCAGGUGCUUCUCCUGGUCUCCCAUGUGGGUGCAGGGCCCAAGCACUUGGGCCAUCCUCCACUGCACUCCCGGGCCAUAGCAGAGAGCUGGCCUGGAAGAGGGGCAACCGGGACAGAAUCCGGCACCCCAACCGGGACUAGAACCCGGUGUGCUGGCGCCGCGAGGUGGAGGAUUAGCCUGUUGAGCCACGGCGCCGGCCUGGGCCAUUUUCUACUGCUUUUCCAGAUCAUAACAGAGAGCUGGAUUGGAAGAGGAGCAACUGGGACCCAAACUGACCCCUAUUUGGGAUUCUGGCGCUGCAGGCAGAGGCUUAGCCUACUGUGCCACAGAGUCGGCCCUUGGUUUAUAAGUGUUAAAUUGUGUGAUAAUAUGUACUGAGCAAUAGUAAUGAGAGCCACACCCUAACUCUUUCUCCUACAUACUAGGAAAUCUGAAGCAAAAAUUUCUUAACACUACAGGCAUUGCAUUUUAUCAUGUGCCAGUCAGGAGUGGUACUUAGAUGAUUGUUGGGUAGAGCAAGUGCAAGUUUGAAAACCUGGUGUGGUCCCCAGACAUACUGCUUGUCCUCAUCACUAAGGUAUACCAGUUGUCUGGUCUCCAUUCAUUUGUGUGCACUGAGAAAGAAAUGCCUGUAAUUACACUACUGCAUUCUCCUGGCUGUAACACACGUACCUGUUGUGGAGAUGUUGAAAUUGGAGGGGCCAGCGCUGUGGUGCAGUGGGUUAAUACCCUGACCUGAAACACCGGCAUCUCAUAUGGGUGCCAGUUCAAGACCUAGUUGCUCCACUUCUAAUCCAGUUCUCUGCUAUGGCCUGGGAUAGUGGUAGAAGAUGGCCCAAGUCCUUGAGCCCCUGCACCUACGUGGGAGACCCGGAAGACGCACCUGGCUCCUGGUUUCGGAUCAGCACAGCUCUGGCAGUUGUGGCCAAUUGGGGAGUGAACCAUCAGAUGGAAGACUGACCUCUCUCUCUCUCUUUCUCUCUCUCUCUCUCUCUGCCUCUCCUCUCUCUGUAUAACUCUGACUUUCAAAUAAAUAAAUAAAUAAAUCUUUUUUAAAAAAUUGGAAAAGAGAUAUAUGUUAGGAUCUUGGAUUUGAAGAAUAGAUGAUAAAAAUACCCACUUAAGCCCAGACACAAAACCAGGAUUUCAGUUUGUGUAGACAAGAAGAGAACUUAAAGCAAAUGUGCCUCAAUAUUAAAAACUUUCUGGCUUUUUGUCUCAUUUUACACAAGAAAACACAAAGAUCAGAGGAAACAUCAUUGUGGUCUGGGUAGAGAGUGCUUUCUUUGGGCGCCUGUCAGAUGGUUAGGAUUCAAAUGACAUUGCAUCACUGUUAUUUAGCAGAAAUGUAUUUUGCAAGAGGGAUGAAGUCAGAUCCCUAAAUCUGGCUGUGCUUUGAGUUGUUUUUAGCAGGAACUCCACUCUGGUAAGUAGUAGAGGACCAAGUCCUAUUUCUCUUUGGUUCUUGAAACUUUCCUUUUUCAGGACAUGAAUUUGUUCCUUGACAGAUGCCAUUGAGUGCAUAGAAAGGGUCUGGGCGGUGGGCAGCAGGACGCAGAGGAGACCUAGGACAUGUCCAGUGGGACACAGACAUAAGCCUCAGACUCCUGGCAGGUUUGCUGCUAAGUCUUAAAUUUUAAAAAAAAUUUAAAUAAUUAAAACAAUUUAUUUUUAAGGAAUACAAAUUUCAUAAGUAUAGCUUUGGGAAUAUAGUUAUUCUUCCCACCACACCUUCCCUCUCACCCACACUCCCACCCCUCCACCUCCUCCCUCUCCCCUGGCCAGUCCCAUUCUCCAUUAAGAUUCAAAAAAAAUUUUUUUUUUUAAUUUGAAAGGCAGAGUUAGAGAGAGAGAGAGAGAGAGAGAGAGAUCUUCCAUCUGCUGGUUCACUUCCCAAAUGGCCACAAUGGCCAGGGAUGGCCCAGACUGAAGCCAGGAGUUUCAUCCGAGUUUCCCGCAUGGGUGGUAGGGGCCCAAGCACCUGGGCUGUCCUCCGCUGCUUUCCCAGGUGCAUUAGCAAGGAGCUGGAUCAGAAGUGGAGCAGUUGGACUCCCAUUGGUAUUCCCAUAUGGGAUGCCCAUGUCUCAGGCAGCGGCUUAACCUACUAUGCCACAGAGCCAGCCCUGCUACUAAGUCUUUACAUGGAGGGCUCCAGGGGGUCAGCACAGCCACCCAAUCUGUGGCUGUGGCACAGGUGGCAAAGGUGGGCUCCCUCCUGAAACUGCGAGGCUGCGUCUCCUAGGUCACACAGCUCGAUGAUGGCCGCUUCGUGGAGCAGACACCACCAGAGCCUGUGCUCUGUCCCCAGUGCUGUGCUCACCAUAGUGUUUGCACAGCCCUGGAAAUGAUUUCAUAGGAGACUGGCAGCUCAGGGCUCUUACCACAACCACUGACUAGUCAGCCUAGCAUAAACAGAGAAUUCCUGUUAAUUCCUCCUGCCUCUGCCAACACGGCUUAUCCACCAAGGAGGCCCUUCUCCUCUCCACUUUUAACCUUAAAGACCCAGACAUGCUUCCAGGCCCUGUUCUUAUAGAGUGAUUCCCGGGUGCCUUUGGCUACCUGCAGCAGUUUAGCUGACCCUCCUGGAGUUGUUGUUGGUGGUGGUGGUAGCUGUUGGUCCUUCCUAUUCACUGGGAAGGGUCUUGAGGUGCCGGCACUAGACGGAGUGUGAAUCCAGCCUCUAUGAAUUACAACUUGUGUCCUUGGGGGAAUUUCUUAGUUUGCCUGGUAAAUGCUAGGGAUAAUUAUUCUGAGUGAGGCACUUGCUCGGUCUCUCAUUCAUCAUCACCUGCAGUCUUCAUAGCAGCCCUCUGAGUUAGGUUCAUUUACUUACCCAUUUUAUAGAUGAGGAAACUGAGAGGCAGCCUGUUGCCUGUGGUCCUACAGCUUGCAUGUGACCAAACAUCAGACUUUUUUUUUUAAAGAUUUAUUUAUUUAUUUGAAACUCGGAGUUACACAGAGAGAGGAGAGGCAGAGAGAGAGGUCCUCCGUCUGAUGGUUCACUCCCCAGAUGGCCACAACAGCUGGAGCUGCGCUGAUCCGAAGUUAGGAGCUGUGCCGAUCUGAAGCUAGGAGCCAGGAGCUUCCUCCGGGUCUCCCAGGUGGGUGCAGGGGCCCAAGCACUUGGGCCAUCUUCUACUGCUUUCCCAGGCCAUAGCAGAGAGCUGGGUUGGAAGAGGAGCAGCCGGGACUAGAACUGGCGUCUAUAUGGGCUGCCUACGCUUCAGGCCAGGGCGUUAACCUGCUGCACCACAGCGCCAGCCCCCAAGCAUCUGACUUUUAAUUCCCUUGUCUGAUGGAGUCAGGGGAUGUUAUGUACCAGCUUCUUCAGGUUUGUUUUAGUUAAAGUCUUAGUGCCCCCUCUUUCCUGUCUAGGCUGUGCUAUCCCAAUUUGUGGGGAAAAGAUGCUUCCAAAAGCCUUGUUUCACUACUGUUGUGAUUUGUACAUCUCAUAUGUCUGCCAAUAACAGGUUCCUUCACUUUCCUGCUCUUAUGGGUGGCUGAUUAUCAAUACCAGAACUAUCCUUUUAUGUAAUAAGCCGAAAGAAUCAGAGUAUUGGUCUUAAGAAACCCAAGCAAACACUUACACAAGGGUCAGUUCCUCAAUCUGAACGCCGUCAGGGCCAUGGCUGCCAUUGGCGUGGGAUGACUGGGCACUGGGAUUUCUUUCUGGGUUACUCCAAUUCUGCUGUCACGGGAACCUUGUAGCAGGGCAGGCAGAAGGAAUCAGCUGUUCAUGCACUCCUUUGUUUUUUCCUAAAGACACAAUUGUUAAGUUCCUUGAACAGAACUAGUGUGGAGUUUUGUUUUUGUUUUUGUUUUUUGGGCAGAGAUCAUUCUGAGUUGGCAGAACAGGAGCCAUCACCAAACGAGCCUCACUCCACCCUGGGGACCCCCAGCAGUGGAAGCACAGAGAGUGGGGUGAGACCCUAUUCUGACCGCAAGACAGGGAUCUUCCUGUCUCAGAUGGAUCUGGAGAGAGCCAAGGGCUAAGAGUAGUUCCAAAGUGAAUGCUCUCCUGGCUUGCUAUGCAAAAGGGCAGUGAGUGGCGGGCUCAGGACUUGCAGCUUGUCCUUGGACUGUGGUUGACCUUCACCUUCAGAGCCAGAGGAAGUUAUUGGGGCAGGGGUUGAAGGCUGGAGCUACCAUUAUUAAAGGCAAACACUGAGCAAGAUUCCUCAUUUCCACAUCCUGGGGUUUCCUCUACAGAUGGAUCCACUGUUGCUAACUUCCACUCCUCGUCCACCGUCCUCAGGGAAGUUGCCAUGUACGAGUUCCGCUCUUUGACUGUGAUUGCGAUUUAUUUUCUGGCCCAGCCUCUGGUCUGUUGUGGGGAAUGUUGCACAAUCACUUGAAAAGAAUGUGUCUUCCCCAGUUUGGGGAGGGGGAUGUCCCAUCAGCAUCCAUGUGCAGGGCCCAGUACUUGGCCUGGUAGAGUCACUGUUGAAGCAAAGCCUCCCCUUUCAUUUAUUGUCGUGAUCCCCAAAUACGCCUGCAAGCGGAAGGCAGUUUGGUGGCUGUGUAGACCAGCAGUUUCUGGAUGGAGCCUACUGUUCCCCUCCGUGGUGCGUCCAAGGAGAGCAGGAAAACAUCCACGUGGGCGAGAAGGCACAGCCAGGCCCUGACCCCAGCUGGCAGCGACUUGUCCUCCAUGUGGCCCCCAAAAAAGGAAAGACCAAGAACUCCAAGCAGACCACUGAGGCCAAGAGAAGGUCUCUGGGGCUUUACCUGAGGGAGGGAGAUGUUCACCCAUGGGAACGAGGAAGGAAGCUCUGUGUGGUCAGAUGCUUUCUCUCCUCUCCCUGCAUUCAGCCAACACUUACCAGAGCCCUGCUGUCAUGGCCCUCAGUGCUGCCACUCCAGGAGCCCAUAGACUCAAGGUUUAUAGGCAACGAAAAUUUAGUUCUCAUGCUUCAGUGGCUUGGGAAGUGCAAGGUCAAGGCAGAUUGAGGAUCUGGUAAAGGCCGAACUUCUGCUUCAUAGGCGGUGACUUCUUGCUAUGUUCUCACAGGGCAGAGCUGCAGAGGAGCGCUUUGGGUCCUCUUUCAUAGGAGACUGAUCCCAUUCAAAAGGGCUGCACCUUCAGGACUUAGUCACCUGCCAAGGGCCUCACCUCCUAAUAGCAUUACACGACUUUGAGGGGGACACAAAUGUUCUUCCUGGUUGCAGUUCCAAACACCAGAAUUCAAGGGUUCUACAUUGCCCCUGCUCUCCAAGAGCUUGUAGGUCACAGAGAGAGUACUGAUAAUCAAACAUGACAUUGUCCAUAGCACAGGGGAUGGUAGUCAGUGGAACACUAGAAGAGGGUCGUGCUUGCUUUGUUUCCCCACUCUUUCUCCGAUGCUCACAUCUGCUGAGCAUUUCUAGGGAGGCUGAAAGGGGGAGACAAUGUGGUCCAAUCUGUCAGCCUGUUAGAAACCUUUGGAAGAUGUGGUCCUAAAGGGCCAGGAAAAUGCGAGUUCUUAGGGGUCUGGUCCUCAGGACAAGAGAGUUUACGCAAGUUUAUAAAAUGCCAUUGACCUUUCUGGCAAGCUGGAUGCCUUUUUAGAAUAAUCCUUUCAAUGUGGAUAUAAUAAAAGUACUCAGGAUUGCAAAGGAAACCAAUUACAUGGAAACACAGUUCUACACGUGAGCCCCAUGCCCCAGGCUAGGGGAGACAGAGACCUGGAGGAUUAUGGGUGGUGGAGAGAGCUCCAUGGGGGAAAUGUCUUUCCUGCAUUUUUUUUUUUUUUGGACAGGCAGAGUGGACAGUGAGAGAGAGAGAGACAGAGAGAGAGAGGUCUUCCUUUUGCCGUUGGUUCACCCUCCAAUGGCCACCGCGGCCAGCACAUCACGCUGAUCCGAAGCCAGGAGCCAGGUACUUAUCCUGGUCUCCCAUGGGGUGCAGGGCCCAAGCACUUGGGCCAUCCUCCACUGCACACCCGGGCCACAGCAGAGAGCUGGCCUGGAAGAGGGGCAACCGGGACAGAAUCCGGCGCCCCGGCCAAGACUAGUUUCCUGCAUUUUGUAAUUCCAUAUUUUUGGAAUUGGUGACCUCAAAGGGGGCCUGGCUGCAGGUCUUGCUUUCACAUAGCUGAAGUAACUCUAUAAAAGACUGCCUUUGGGGGCCGGUGCUGUGGCUUAGUGGGGAAAGCUGCUGCCUGCGGUGCCAGCAUCCCAUAUGGGCACUGGUUCAAGUCCUGGCUGCUCCUCUUCCAAUCCAGUUUCUUCUAUGGCUUGGGAAAGCAGUAGAAGAUGGCCCAAGUGCUUGGACUCCUGCACCUGUGUGGGAGACCUAAAGAAGCUCCUGGCUCCUGGCUUCAGAUUGGUUCAGCUCCAGCUGUUGCUGCUAUCAAGGGAGUGAACCAGCGGAUUGAAGAUCUCUCUCUCUCUGUUCCUCUGUUUCUCUGUAACUCUGCCUUAAAAACAAAAACAAAAACAAAAACAAAAACAAAAACAAAAAACUGCCUUUGACUGCUCUGGUGAGCUUAUGGCUUGUUUCUUUGCUCAGCAGACCAUAUUGUAUGCCCCGACUUCCAGAGAUAUGAAGGCACUUCACAAAAUUCAUGACAGAGUUAAAGGAUGUUGACUUUGGUACAAAAUCUUUUUGAAAACCAUGCAUAGUAUUUUCAUUGUGCAUUUUUUCAUGAGCUUUUAUGAAGACCCCACUUAUGCAUGGAUUUCAAAAAAAUAUUUGCACCAUAAUAAAUUUAACUUUAAAUUCCAUUUUCCAGGAACGUUUUGAGGCAGCUUUGUAGAAGCAUUGGCAUGGUUGAAUUGUCUGCCUUUUUAAUUUCACUUGUUCUCCCUAUGGAGCAUGAUGAAUUGCAAUUGAAAGGGAAAAGGGGUUAAAGAGUAGGGAGGGUAGAGAAAGGCCUCGGCUGGAUCAUCAGUGUGUUUCUUCAGAAGCCUGGCGAGGAGCUGGGGUCCCUUGGCAGGCUGGGAACCCUUCUUGGGAGUUCACAAAACGGAGAUUGCGACCCAGGAGGAUGGGUGACUUUUCAUGGGAGCUGAGGAGAAGCCCAUGUCUUACUUUGCAAGGUGGCAGAGACUGUGAGCCCUGAGAUGUCAGACACGGCUAUCAAAGAACUGCCGGCCACCACUUUGUCCACCCUGGGCUCAUUACCGCCCUAGAAGCUGGAGGUCUGAUUUUACCCAUGUGACAAUGGAUACAGAGCUAGUCAGUCCAAGGUCACCUGCUGGAAGUGGUGGAGCUGAGAGCCACACAAUCCCAGGCCCUGAGAGCUUUGUGUUUUUCCAGGUGCCUACCUGCAGCAUGGUGAUCAUGGAUGUGGCUUGUGGAGCCAGGUGGCCUUGGUUCCAGUUCCAGCUCCACAAUUGAAAAGCUCGAUGAUCCAAGGUGCUGUGGGCAGUUACAAAUCGGAAGCCGUUUGGUUAUGAGAUCAUCAAGGAUCUCCGUGACAUGUUGUCCCUUUCUUUGAGGGUCAGUCUUCCAGAGGACAGAGUUACAGGCACCCAGGCCCUUAAGCCCCAACCAGACGAUUGCCCCAGGAAUGAGUGAAGAUGGAGGGGUUCAGCAAGGCCCCCCUGCCACCCCAGACUCACACAUGUAGAUUCUGGCCCCAGUCUCGUAAGCACUCUGUCGAUGUUUGUUGGGAGGAUGAUUGGGUCAUCCCGUCUGAACGGGAUGCGGCCACCGUUGCCAGAGGCUCUGCUCUCUCCUGCUUCUCCAGCUGUCCCCCGACUCAGGCUCUAGUCGAGCUUUGUUUCCUCUGCCAUUCCCUGUCCUGGCUCUUUGUCAUUGAGUCUACCAUAGUGCUUCCCACUGCAAUUCCAGGCUAGCCCUGCCUCCCUCACCUCCCACCCUGGCCCUCCAAUAAGCAGUUGGAUUGUGGAGGUGUGGUCUUGGGGACAGGCUGGAGUGCUGCACAAACAGCUAGCUCCUACCCCCGAGUCUCAGGUUCUCUGUCAUGCCGGGGCUCUGGCUAGUGCCUUCCCAUCUCUAGGAGGGGAAGGCCUGGGUUAAAGUGUCACAAAGAACAGUGCCAGGGGCUUUGGAAAUGGAGGGAGGGGUGCUUGACUACAAGGCAGAUCAGGUGGGCAGUGCCUCCGUGAGCAACAGACUUUGUGCAGGGGCACAGAAGGGAGGCACAGAAGCCUGCCUUGGGGAACAGGAUGCUUCUCCUAUCACACUAUCCCCUCCCCACCUCAUCAUUAGGUCUACAGCUAAGCUGUCCUUGCAGGGGCAGCCCCUCUCUCCUGGGGUGGGCAUCAGUGCACACGGAGUGAAGACAGAUGCCCUGUUCCUGCUAGGUGACCUUGAGCAGAUGGGUUCCAGGCCACCCAUUCUCCUGCCCCUGCAAGGGACUCCAUUGCCUCUGGCCAUCCUGAGCACCUGGCCUCGGCUGCUGGCAGCGCCCCGGACAGAGCCCUGACAGUCCUCACCUUCCUGCCGUGGGGCAGGGCCCAGAGCAUCUGCGAAGGGCUGCACUCACCCUCCUCACAUGGCUGAACCCGAGAGAGCGCAACCAUAGACAGCCAGUGAAGAACCACCAUGCCACGUCAAGACGGAGGUCUCGGGCCUCAGGAAAAAUCCCCUUUCCCUCUCUCUGAACAAGCAUUUCACCAUGCACAGGACCGUGCAGUUUACAGGGGGGCUUCACAAAGUUCAUGGAUGGUGCAUAUGCAUGACAAAACUAUGUAGAUUUCAAAAUCAAAUUCACAACAAAAUAAUUGUCAUCUAAUUCCAAUUUUCCAUGGAGUCCCCCCCUCCACACACACACCAGAACCCUUUAUUUAAGGAAUACAGACUUCAUGAAUUUCAUAAAUACAGCUUUAGGAACAUAGUGAUAGUGAUUCUUCUCACCGUACCCACCCUCCCACCCCAACUCCCACCCUUCUUCCUCCUCCCUCUCCUAUUCCCAUUCUUAUUUUUUACUAAGGACUAUUUUCAAUUACCUUCAUACACAGAAGAUUAUACUAAGAGUUCAACAAAUAGUAUGAAAAAAAAAAAACCCAACUGUUCCUCAACAGUUUUUUGAUUUUCCUUUUGAUGUCUUCCAUGACCCACUGUUCAUUCAGGAGCAUGCUGUUCAGUCUCCAGGUGUUUGAACAUGUUCUAGAGAUUUCUGAGUUGUUAAUUUCCAGCUUCAUUCCACUAUGGUCAAGAAGAUGCACGGUAUGAUAUUUUUUUUAAUUUGCUGAAACUUGCUUUAUGGUCUAGUAUGGUCUAUCCUAGAGAAAGUUUCAUGCAUUGGUGAGAAUAUGUGUACUCUGCAACCGUAAUAUGGAAAGUUCUGUAGAUAUCUGUUAGGUCCAUUUGGUCUGUAGUGUCAGUUAACUCUGUUGUUUCCUUGUUGAUUGUCUGGUUGAUCUGUCCAUUUCUGGAAGUGGGUGUUGAAGUCCCUCAUUACUAUUAUAUGGGAGUCUGUGUCUCCCUUUAUAUCCCUUAGCAUUUCUUUAAAUUGCCAGGUGCUCUGUAAUUAGGAGCACAUACAUUUGUUAUAGUCACAUCUUUCUGUUGAAUUGUUCCCUAAAUCAUUGCAUAGUGCCCUUCUUUGUCUCUUUUAACAGUUUUUGUGUUAGUCUAUUUUGUCUGAUAUUAGGAUGACUACGCCAGAUCUUUUUUGGUUUCUGUUAGCAUGGAAUGUCUUUUUCCAACCUUUCACUUUCAGUCUCCAUGUAUCUUUGUUGGCGAGAUGUGUUUCUUGUAGACAGCAAAUAGUUUUUUUUUUUUUUUUUUCAUUCAGGCAGUCUGUAUCUUUUAACUGGAGAGUUGAGACUGUUUACAUUCAAGGUGACUAUUGAUAAGCAACUUCUUAGCCCUGCUAUUUUCCCAUAAAUAUUGCUAUUUUUUGCUUUCAAUUUCCUUUUUACUUGUUCUGGAGAUUUUCUGCCUUUCUGUUCUUUCAUAGCGAUGAGUAUGUUUCUGUGUGUAGCACAUCCUUAACCAUCUUUUGUAAGGCUGGACAGGUGGUGACAGAUUCUUUCAACUUCUAUUUGUUAUGGAAGGUCUUUAUUUCACCUUCAUUUGUAAAUGAGAUCUUUGCAGGGUACAGUAUUCUGGACUGACAGCUUUUUUUUCUCUUAAGACUUGGAAUAUAUCCUUUGGAGAAUAUCUUAGAAUAUUCUCUCCUAGCCUGAAGGAUUUCUGAUGAGAAGUCAGCUGUGAGUCUGAUUGGAGAUCCUCUGAAUAUAAUCUGACAUUUUUCUCAUGCACAUGUUAGAAUCUUUUCUUUAUGUUUUACUGUGGCGAGGUUGACUGCAGUUUGUCAUGGUGAAGAUCUUUUCUGGUCAUGUCUAUUAGGAAUUCUAUGUGCUUCCUGUUCUUGGACGUCCCUUUCUUUCUCCAAAUUAGGGAAGUUUUCUUUAAUUAUUUCACUAAAAAUUAUUCCUUUUCUCUUUCUACACCUUCAGGAACUCCUGAGAUCUGUAUCCUAGGUCAUUUGUUGAUAUCCCAGAGGUCUCCAACACUGUUUUUUAGUUUUCUAAUUUCUUCUUCUUUUUUUUUUUAUCUGACUGUAAACUUUCCAGAGGUUUGUCUUCUAACUCAGUUAUUCUUUCUUCUGCCUCACUGGUUUUGUUGUUAGGGAUUUCCGUCACAUUUUUUAUUUGUUCUAUUGAAUUCUUCAUUUCCAAUAUUUCAUCUUAAUUUCUCUUUAAAAUCUCAAUUUCAUGAGAAAAAUUUUCAUUCAUGUCAAUUUCUUGAAUUCCAUUUCUGGCAUUUCUUUAGCUUCUUCAUUUUCAAAUUCUAGUAUUGAAGUGUUGUUGUGUUCCUUUGGGGGCAUCGUGUUGUCUUCCUUAUUCUUGUUUCUUGAAGUGAUGUGUUUAUUUUCAGGCAUUUGUGGAGUUACCUGUGGGCAUUUUUUUUUUCCGUGUGAUAACUUAUCUUUGGACUGUGACUCUGUGGCUUAGUGGAGUAUCUGCUCUUUCAGUGAAUACCCUGAAGUAUGUGCUGGGUGUGGCACUGCUGCAGUCUGGUCUCAUCUCUCCAAAGCUGGUGCUGAGGCUCUCUGUGGCUGGGUGCCUGAGUUGUGCAUGUCUGCAUCCUCCAAGUAGAUCCACAGUGUCCCUCUAAUUUGCAUAGAAUUUCCUCUGCUGUUUUCUCCCUGACUCUCCCCUGAGAUUGCACUCUCUCCAUUUUUAUUUUAACUCUCUUCCCCUAGCAGUAAGCUCCCUCCCUGUUCUGCCAUCUUAGUGCCUCGCCAGUACAACUCUUGUUUGAAAGAAAGAACUUGACUGGGGCUGACAUUGUUGGAAUGUGUGUUUAACCACCACUGGUGAUGCUCACAUCCCAUCUUGAGUUUUUGAAGUCCUGUCCUAUGUAGCCAAACUCUCUUGCAGGUUUAGUUGUUUAGUGCAUUUUGUUCAAUUUUGAGUCACAGAUGGUGACAAAGCCUUUUGACGAAGGCUAGAAAGGUGGCACUUUGCCACUUCCUACAAUGAGGUCAUCUCCCAAAUAUCCUAAGGUCUCGCUAAGAUUUGCAACCAAAAUGUGGACCGCAACCAUAGCCUUGUUUGCUGUGGGGGAAUCUCGUUUUUUCCUUCUUCUGUGGCUGGAUGCUAAGACACAGCGAGUUGUCUUUAAAAUACGCUGUGGGCUAUCACUUUUGCAAAUGCGGACAUCUCCGCAUGGCCGGCAAGUGCUGGAGCCAGGCUGCGGUCUGUAAGAGGGACCAUCAGGCCAGCAGGAGGCCGGGAGAGGUCUCAGCAGCUCCCCACUGAGAGCAGACUUUGCACAGCCUGAGGAAUGGAAGAUCCCAGCCUGGCAGCGCAGAACCACAGAGAGGGAAGUGGGAGGAGGCCUCACUGGCUCUGUGCCAUGGGAAAUAGAGGAAGCUCCCCACCAAGAGCAGGGGGAAGCAGCAGGUGGAAGUCGGUCCCACAAACCACACACAUCCGAGUCUGUGAGGAGCCUCAGCACAAAGGGAAUGGACCAUGGGCUCUGCUCGGAGCCAUGUUUUCUGCUUCCAUGCAGACCACAGCACAUGGUGAGGAUGGAACAUUCCAGAAGGGCUGAAGACUGAAGGAGAAGUCUGCUGGGGAAGGCCAAAUAGGAAAACGGUGGCCUGACAUUGGACAGGAAGGUGGGGGACAGUUUGGCCCCAGCCUCAUUCUUGAGUCUUGGAGACUGUCCUAUCUUCUGGAGCCCGCUAGCUUCCUGUCCACAGCUGCUGGGGCACUUUGACACCCUGAGAUGCAGCAGGCUGCACUGUGGAACCACAGAGGCUCCCUCGCUUCUUUGUGGUUUGUAAGUCCCAAUGUCAGUGCUGCCCCAGAAUCGCCCUCCCGACCUGCCGCUCCUCCCAGAUCUGUGUCUGUUUUUCCAUUUCCAGCAGAAGAGCAGGGGCGGGUGCAGCAGUCUGGGGCUGUGUUUCCCUUUUUUCAGGUGAGUUUUGCCACUUCUUGGAGAGGCGCCUGACUGGUGAGAGUGGGGAUCAGUGCUCUGUACUCUCGCAUCCAUCGGAGCCACUUCUUACUUACUUGUUUCUGCCGUUUUCUAAUAGCUGCUGACAUUUACUGAGUUUUAACAGCUCGGUCUCUCACUCUGCCCUCUUCAUACACUCUCCCUGUUAGCUCUUUGCUGUUUUUCUGGGAUAUCAUUUGCACACAAGGAAUUAUAAAGAGGGAGGGCAGCACUGUGGCGCACUGUGCUAAGCCAGAUGGGCAACACCAGUGUCCCAUAUUGGAGCACUAGUUCAAGAACCAGCUGCUCUGCUUCUGAUCUAGCUCCCUGCUAAUGCACCUGGGAGGGCAGCCAAGGAUGGCCCAAGUACUUGGGCCCCUGAGAUCAAUGUGACAGAGCCAGAUGAAAUUCUAGGUUCCUGAAUUCAGCCUGGAGCAGUGGAGGCCAUUUGGGGAGUGAACCAGCAGAUAGAACAUUUUCUCUCUCUCUCUCUCUCUCUCUCUCUCUCUCUCUCUUUCAUAUAAAUAAAUAAGUGUUCAUAGAAAAUGCAGAGAUCUUAAGUACAGAAGUAGGUGAGUUUCACAAAUACAUCCUACCCAUGUCCCAUCACCCCAGAGACAGGACGCCAAGACAUCUCCAUCACCCCGGAGAGUUUGCCUUCCCUCCUACCUGCCCUCACACAAAGGCAUCCACCACAGUUACUGCUUUCUUUCAUCUGUUGUCUCCAUUCUAGAACUUCUUGGAGCUGGGAUAAUUUUUGUUCGUUAUGUCUGGCUUUCUUCACUGGGCCUGGUGACUAGAGGUUCUCACAGGCCGUUGUGCAUCUCAGAGGCCCUUCUUGGUUGCUGUUCUGUAUUCCACUGUCAGACACCUGCACUCCUUUUUGUUGUUGUUGUUUAAGACUUAUGUAUUAAUUUGAAAGACAGAGUUACAAAGAGAGGUAGAGACAGAGAGAGAGGUUUUCCAUCCACUGGUUCACUCCCCAGAUGUCCGUAUCGGCUGGAGCUGUGCUGAUCCGAAGCCAGGAGUCAGGAGCUUCUUCCAGGUCUCCCACAUGGGUUCAAGGACCCAAGGACUUGAGCCAUCUUCUACUGCUUUCCCAGGCCAUAGCCAAUAUCAGAAGUGGAGCAGCUGGGACUUGAACUGGCACACAUAUGGGAUGCCAGCCCUGAAGGCGGCAGCUUUACUCGCUACACCACAGCGUCCACACCUCACCUGCACUCUAUCCUUCUGUCUCCUGGCGGACGUUUGGGUUGUCCUCAGUCUGUGGUGAGGAUGAGUAAGGCUGCUGUGAGCUUUUAUGAACCAGACUUUUUAUGGAUAUGUGGUUGUGGGAAGUACCUAGAAGUGGAGCUGUUAGGUCCUAUGCUGAGUGUCUUUUUUAGCUGUAUAACUGCCAAGCAGUUCUCCCAAGUGGUGCAUAUAUCAAUUUUUACUCCCAGCAGGAGCGCAGGAGAGUUCCACAGCCUCGUCAGCACUUGGUACCGACAGUCUUUUUGAUUUUGGCCAUUCUAGUGGGUGUGAAGUAGUAUUUAAUUUUGGUUGUAAUUUGCAUUUUCUGAUGACUCCUGGCAUUGAGGACUUUUUCAUGUGAUUUCUGUUGUGAAGUGUCUGUUCAAGUCUUUUCCACUCUUGGUGGGAUGGUAAUUUGCCUUUUGUUAUCUUUUAAGACUUAUUUAUUUGAAAGGCAGACAACAGAGAGAGGAAAGACAAACAGACACACACACCCACACCCACACCCACACAGGUACCUUCCAUCUGCUGGUUCAUUACCCAUAGGGUCAUACCAGCCACAUCUGGGCCACGGUGCAGUCAGGAGCCAGAAGCCAUAUCUUAGUUUCCCACAUGGAUCGCAGGGGCCCAAGUACUUGGGCCAUCACCCACUAUGCUAGGCUCAUUAGAACGAGCCAGGCUCAUUAGAAUGAAGCUGCAUUGGAAGUGGAGCAUCCAGAUCUAGAACAAACACUGCAGUAUGGGAUACUGGCGUCACAGGCGGUGGCUUAACACAUUGGACCACAUCACUGGUCCCUGUCUUUUAUUAUGGAGUUGGAAGAGUUCUUUACAUAUUGUGGGUACAGGUUCCUUGUCAAACAUAUGUGCUACAAAAAUUUUCUUCCAAUCUGUACCUGUACUACCCUUUUAAAUUCCCCAGCAAUACUGUGCAGUAGAUAUUAUUAUCCCCAGCUUAUCUCAUAAAAGACAAAACCAAAGCACAGUUGUUUACGCAAAAUGCCCAUAGUCGGGGCUGGCGCCGUGGUGCAGCAGGUAAAGUCACUGCCUGUGGUGCCAACAUGCCAUAUGGGUGCCUGUUCAAGUCCUGGCUGCUCUACUUCCGAUCCAGUGCCCUGCUAACGGCCUGGGAAAGCAGCAGAGGAUGGCCCAAGUGCUUGGGCCUCCUGCAUCCAUGUGGGAGACCUGGAAGAAGCUCCUGGCUCCUGGCUUCAGCUCUGCACAGCUGCAGUGGUUGCGACCAUUUGGAGAGUGAACUGGUGAAUAGAAGAUCUCUCUCUCUCUCUCUCUCUCUCUCUCUCUCUCUCUCUCUCUCUGUAACUCUGCCUUUGAAAUAAAGGAAAUGCCCCUGGUCACACAGCUCCCCAGUGGCAGGAGUGGGAUGUAGCCCCCUUUGCUUUGUUAGAGCAUGGACAUCCAGAAAAAUCCCAGAAAGCGUCUUUCUGUGCACAAAACCUCCUACAUCUCUGGCGGCCUGAAGGCGUGUGGUCCUCAAGGCAGUGCCCGGCUGGGUUAUUUCAGUUCACACUCGCUGCCUGUGUCUCGCACAUACCAGACCAUCCUGGGAAGUCGCCGGCUCCCAGACCUGGUUGGGAGCACGCUCUUCUCCGGAGGAUGCCAUGUGGCUUGGAGCUGCUCUGAGCAAAGACAAACUGCGGGCAUUUUGACAGGGCUCUGAGGAUGCUGGCGGGAUCACCUCGUGCCAGGAAUAACAAUGAGGGGCCCAGGCUUGCUCACUGCCAGCGCUGCUCUGGGAGGCAUCACUAAAGGACAGGAGCCAGGAUGGGGGGAGGUGCAGUGGCGGGGGUGCUGUGCAGGGAUGCGUUGUCCACAGCUGGCUCAAAGAAGGGCUGUUAGGUGCCCCCAGGGACUUCCCCUCCCUCUCUCCUCUCUGAGCAGGAGUUGGGGCCCCCAUGACAGUCACAGCAAAGGGCUGUGAGGUAAUGGGGGAGCAGAAAUAAUGUGAGUGGAAUAAAAAGCCUUUCUGGGUAGCCACAGCGUGCCAGGUGAUGCCCAUGCUUGGUGGCCCGAGUAGGUGCCAGACACAGUGUAGGUGACUUUGCACUUAUUAGCUCAGUCCUCCUAAUACCCUCUACGAGAUAGGUGUUAUUAAAAUGUCCACUGGAGCACCACUCUCUGAGGUUCAGAGAGCUCAAGUGAUUUGCCUAACGUCACAUCGUUUGUAAGUGGUUGAGGUUUGAAUAGGGUUUAGCUAAUUCUAAAACCUGCUGCUUAACUGUUAUGCACUGCUGCCUUUCUAUUCAAAACCUUGAGCCAGAUUCCUACUUUGUGCCAUGCACUGCAAGACGGGCAUUGGACAGGGGAAUAUAGUCUUGAAUAAGAUCUGUCCCUGUCUUGGUGGCCACCAAAAGAAAUGUCCACAUCCUACAACCUGUCCAUCGGACCUCAGUUGGAAAAAAGGAUGUCUGCAGGUGUGAUUAAGGAUCUUGGGCUGAGGUCACCCUGGAUGGCCUGGGAAGCCCUACCCUGGUGACAAUGCCCUCUGGAUAAAUGUCCUUCUAAGAGACAGAAGAGGAAAGACAGCAAGAAAAGAGGGUCCGGUGAAGAGGAGGCUGUGAUUGAAGUUGUGCAUCCACACACAGGCCAGGGAAAGCUUGGAGCCCCUGCAGGCUGGAAGAGGCAGAUGGUUCUUCCCUGGAACUUCCAGAGGGAGCCUGUUCUGUUUAUUAGCAGUGACGUCACAGUCCAGCACACACUCGAGAGGAAGGGAUUACACAAGUGCUUGAAUCCUUAGGGACAGCAACCACUGAAGUCAUUGUAGCCGUUGCCUACUAACACAGUGCCAGGAGACCUGAACCUCACCAAGGCAUCCGACCCCUGGCUGCAAGAAGGGAAUUAACAUGUAUUAAGAACUAACAUUUACUGUGUAUCAGCUGCCAGGCCAGAUUGUUUGUACGCCUUCCAUCAUGCAGUAUCACCUAACCCUCCUGUGACCUUUGCAAAGGGAGAGAACUAGGGGUCAAGAGUGUAGCAACCUCCUAGUAGCUUAUCCUAGUCAGCCAAAUUUUCUCAGCUGAUGGCUGUUUCAUAAUCACUUGUAAAUCACUUUUGGUGUUUGUGCAUAGUUUCUGAUUCAGUAGUUUUAGGGUCAAGCUUAAGAAUUCCCAUUUCAGGAGCUGGUGCUGUGGCUCACUUGGCUAAUCCUCCUCCUGCAGCGUUGGCAUCCCAUAAGGGUGCUGGGUUCUCGUCCCAGUUGCUCCUUUUUCAGUCCAGCUUUCAGCUGUGGCCCGGGAGGGCAGUGGAGGAUGGCCCAAGUCCUUGGGCCCUGUACCUGCAUGGGAAACCAGGAGUGGGCACCUGGCUCCUGGCUUCAGAUCGGUGUGGCGCACCAGCCGUAGCAGCCAUCUAGGGGGUGAACCAAUGGAAGGAAGACCUUUUUCUCUGUCUCUCUCACUAUCUAACUGUGCUUAUAAAAAAAAAAAAAAAAGAAUUCCCAUUUCAAACAAAUUCCAAAAAAUUCCAGGAGAGGGUGGCAGUUCUGGAUUGAGCACCAAGCAUUUGAACCAAGGGAGACUCAAUGAUGCAACAGGAAAGAACCCCUAAAGUUUGAAGUUUCCAUUUUUAAUAGACACAUCAAAUGUGUUGAUCAGGUUGCCAUCCUUUCAGGUUGGAUGGUCCUCCUUACUACAGCCCUACUAUUUGGAGCGUCUGGUCUCCCAAAGUCCCCACAAUAGGGAAAAGAGAAGUCAGAGGGGUGUGCUGGGAAGACUUUCUUCUUCCGGGAGAAGAAACUCAGUCUCAUGACCCCAGACUAACAGCAAAGGAGGCUGAGCCAUGGAGCCUUCCCGGGAGAAAGACGUGGUAUGAUGGGCACACACUGGAAUUUGAGUUCAGGUGGGACUUUGUCUGGUCUAGGUGUUUUCAGUGAGUUUUUUCAUUCUAGCCAGGGUUAAAGAAAUGUGUGUGUGUGUGUGUGUGUGUGUGGAACUGAGAAAGGAGAAGAGGAAAGAGAUAUUUCUUAAGUUCUUCAGCUCCUUCUCCUGCCAGCAGCCUCAGCCCUCUUAGGGGUACCGGUACUCAGCUUAGCAGCUGCAGCACUUUGGAGGUUCCCAGUGUAUGUGCAGAGGAUUCUUGCACAGUUUGCACCCUCAACAUCUGAUACAUUGCUGGACCCCAUGUCCAGUAUUUGAGGAGCCGUCAGGCUCUGGACUCCAAGCCACAGAUAAGCUCUGAGCAGAAAAUAGGUUCUUCCUGCCGCUCCUGUCCUGCUUCUCAGGCUGCUGCACACCCAGGGGCCUUGCACAUCUGUGGUUUCCAGCUUUCAUGCUUUGGCAUAUGCUGUGACAUCUGCCUGAAUUCCUUCUCUUCCCUCCAGAGACUACACACAAAUGACACCAGCUCCGUGAAGCCUUCAUCAAUCAGUCAAAUAAAUAUUCAUCUUACCCUUAUUCUGGUUCAGAGCAUAGACAUGCCUCCUGUCACAGGCCUGUGUAGACUCAUGCUGUCUCUCCUUAUAGACUGAGAGGACUUCAAGAACAAGACUGUGUGGCACCCUUUCCUGGCCGCCUCACUGCCUGCAAGGUUGAGUUCAGAGUCUUCUUGAGACCUGCAACCUUCCCCACUCCCCAAGACCCAGAGGUGAUGCGGGCACUCUGGGGCGUUAGUUUGAAUCCCAUGUCUGCCACUUGUGGAAUGUAUGACUUUGGACAAAUUGUUAGCUGAUUAUGCCACAGUUUUCUUGUUUGUAAAGUGGGGUCAUCAUGCUGUGCAAAUUUGAUGAAAUAAUAAAUGUAAAGCCCUUCAGGGGGCUGGAUCUGUAGUGUAGUGGGUAAAACUGUCUUCCAUGGUGCUGGCAUCCCAUAUAGAUGCGAGUUUAAGUCCUAGCUACUCCACUACCGAUCCCAGCUCCCUACUAAUGCACCUGGGAGAGCAGUGGAGGAUGAUCCAAAUGCUUGGGCCCUUGCAUCCACAUGAGAAAAGCUCCUGGCUUAAGCCUGGCCUGGCCCAGCUUUAGUCAUUGUGGACAUUUGGGGAGUGAACCAGUGGAUGGAAGACCUCUCUCUCUCUCUUUGUCUCUCUGUGUGUGUAACUCAGCCUUUCAAAUAAAUAAAAACCUUCAAACGGCACCAGCUACAUGGCAAAUACUCAAGAAAUGCCAGCUACUCUUCUGUUAUCAUUCCCUUUUUAUUGCCUUGUUACUAUAACACACACCUGCUGUACCAACUUACUUGCUUGCUUACUGUUGUGGUGGCCUCAUAUGCCCCUUUGUGUCUGCAUUAGAUGAGCCAUCUGCUGACAGGUUCCUGUCUCACCUGUUCACUCACUCACUCUGAUUCAUUCAUUCAUUCCGCCAAGUCUUUGCUGAGCUCACUCCCGUUCUUGGUGUAGACUCAUCUCAGCCACCCCUUCCAGUCCCUUCCCACUGGGUUGACCACUGUGGUUUUGAAGCUAUGUUUAUUUUUCUGUAACUCUAAGAACAACUUGAGAGCACAAAAUACAUCCCCUUCCCCUGGAUUUAUUGCUCAGAACUCAGUUUCUAUUAACUGGACUGACACAUAGUGGGGGCUUCAUGAACAUUUGUUGAAUGAAUACAUGAAUGCCGCUUACUUCUGCGUUGUAUUCGGUCACGCUGGACUCCUGUUUUCCUUGCACAAAAUCAAAUAUUUCUGGAUUCAUAUUCUUCACAGGGCCUGGGUUCAGGAGGGUUACUUUCAAUCAGCAUUUCUGGAUUUUACCACCUUCUGAGCCAGAACUCUUUGCCUGGUCCAGCUUGACCAAACGUAAGAUGAUGGGAAGGGCUCCUCUCUGAAUAAUGCAGGAGGAUGUUGUGUUCCUUGGUCUAACUGUAGGGUCACCAAAGGCCUCUCAACACUUCCCACAUUUGCUGGUCCUCUAGAGAGUGUCUGUCACAUCAUCUUCACCCCAGUGCCUUCGUGAAUGCCUGCUACCAAGGAUGGAGGAGGAGGGUGCUUUCCUACACUGGCUGACAUCCUCGAUAUGAAGAUCUGGAAUCUGAUGUUUGACCCACGGUCUAAUGGUGCGGAUGGUAACAUUCGGCCAAAACAGUCUCCCCGGCUCUUCUUUCAUGCAUUUGUCUCCUCUCUUUGGCAGCCAAGGUCUGGUUUUUAUUUGCAAGCUGGCUCUAUAAUUCACCUUCCUCCUCUCUAUCGCACCUCCUUCAGUGAUUGCCGGUGGCUGAUUCCUGAGGCUGGCAGGAAUGGGAGCGUCGCUCUCCUAGGGGCUGACUUUCCUGCAGAGGGGGUGCCGUUGUGGGGCUGCAGAAGGGCGGGGUCUGGGUUCCAUCUCGUGUGACCUCCUUAGGGGACCCUCUGGGCCACUGUCUAUUGAUGUCACUGAGGAACUGCAAGCGAUUUUACUGACUUCUUUGUUUUCAAUACUAUUUUUAGAAGAUUUUUGAGAUAUUAUCCUAGUUUUUAUCCUUCUUGUCAACUGUCAUGCUUAAAGCCAUGUGUGUUCUAUGUGUAUCUACUUUUCUUCCUCCUGUGAGGCAGAAAUAACCCCAGUUGAAACUUUAAUAUGUGACAGAGGCGUUCCUUGAUAUUUUCACACCUGUCGUCUCACUUAUUCUUUACAAUCAUCCUACUAGGUAGGGAUUAUUAGUUCUGUGUUACAAGCAAGGAGAUUGCAGCUUAGGGGUUUUGAUUUCACAGAGCUAGUGAGCAUCUUUUCGUUACUUAGAGACUAUGUCUGCCUCUUUAACUUCUAGGUUCCUUUUCAGCUUAUUUUGCCAUUUGAUUUCUUCUGUAUUGCACAUUGCAUGCCCUGUACCGCUGUGCUUGUAUUUCAUGGUCUCUUAUAAUAAAUGCUUCUGAGUGUGGGCUCUAACGCUAAUUUGUUUGUAGUUAUUAUUUCCCUGAAGGAAAAAUUGUCCAUUUAUGUUACUCUCCUUUUAUCCUGGCAGACCCUUAGGAGCUGAUUCUCAGUGGCUCUUUGGGAGCAGAUGUAACAGAGAAAUCAAUACAGCCGUUAGAUUCAUCCAUGGCAACCCUAAUGUCAUUGCGUCUCCUGCCCUGUAGUGUUGACAGAGACGGCAGAACCAGGAGGAGGGGAGAUGCUUAAAAGAUGAGACAGGAGUCUGUAAAGUGAAGGGGAGAAUUAAAACCCCACGGGGCCUCACUUAGUGCACAAGAAAUUGUAGGCUCUUGCCAAUAGCAUAAUCAGGUCUUCUCGCAGAGAGUGAAUGGCCUGAUGUCAGGCCUGGACGAGGGGAAGGUCUACAACACCCAGGCAUCCUGGGCCCUUCAGAAAAAUCCCAUCAGCAGCUGUGGGGAGCAGCAGCCUGAGCUGGGACUUUACCUCUCUCCUCUAGGAGCCAGGUGCUCAGCUCUUCUAGAAAGGAAGUGAGGGAGGGCAGAUCCCAUGUGAUUUCUGUCUUGCAGAGGACCUCAGCGUGUAUCAUGUCACUGUCAUUAUCACUAUUACUAUUUCCUCCACAGGGGAGAGGACGUGCUGUUUAAGGCAGUAGUUGGUCCAUGGAAAGCACUCAAGAUGUGUUUGAACAGUCAGUGCUGGCCUCCUUGAUAGAACACACGCAGUUAACAAUGGUUUGUUGAGCAUCUCCUAGAUGUCAGGUCCUGCUGUAGGGAUGGGGCAUCACGAUGCGUGCAUUCAGGGAACUCCUUUUCCAGUAGGCACUGGGAGUUCAGCUAAGCGAAUAGCUUGAGUUUUUUUUUUUCCCUGCUUUAGACAUGGCUCCCAGAAUCUCUUCUCUUCCUUUGUGCAGAUCAGUGAUUCUCAUCCAGGGCAUGGUUUGAGCACUCUCCAAGUCUCCUAAAAGAUGUGUGGAUAUGUUUUUCAUUGUCUAAACUUGCUCUUGUUGGGAGGACAAGGGUGUGUGUGUGUGUGUGUGUGUGUGUGUAUGGUAGAGGCCAGGGAUGCCAUCAGAUAUCAUACAGAACAGAACAGCCCAGCAACAAAGAAUUUUGCAGUGGGUAAUGCCAGUAAUACAGAGGGAGAGAAACCCUGGUGGAUACAGCAGAGACUGCUUGGUCAGGGACUACAUUUCCCAGCAACCCUUGCUUCUUGAUGUAGCAUGUAAGUAGACCUUACCACCAAAAAGUGAACAGGAGUGCUGUGCCCAGGUCCAGGAGUAGGGCUUUAGGAAGUGGAGGUGGCUUUUGUCUUUCCUUGAAGAGAGCAAGGUUUCAGGUAACAGUGGAGUGACCUGGGGCUCUAAGUCACCAUACGGAAGGAAGCUGUCUACCAAACAGAGACACUCCUCUUCAACUCUCAUCUGAAUAUGAACUAAGACUCUGUUGUGUUUUAGCUGUGGUGCAUUUUGGAAUCUCCAGGAAACAGUAAUUUAACCCACCCUAACUACUGCCAACACUAAGUCCUGUCAAUAGUUCUUCAAAAUAAGGAAAGCUAACAAGUAUUGGGCACACACUUUGAGCCAGACAUUGAGCUCUCUUUUAUCUCCAUACCAAUGCUCUGCAAUAGAUCCUAUUAUUAUCUCUGUUUUACUGACGAAGAAACAAAUGCUCAAUGUUAGCAGGGCAGAUGAGUAUCGUGUGCCAGUUCUAGUCCAGAUUCCAGACUCAGUUGCGGGACAAGUUCCUCUCGCCAGCAUUAGUAUCACUUCCUCUGGGCACUGUGCUCUCCCUGCAGGGUCGCUGUAACCUUUCCCUCUUCCAAACACUCCGGAUUGAAUGGCUUUCUGAAAACGAAAUCUGGGUGUGCUUCUGUCCUGCCUGUUUUCAUUCAGUGUUUCCCACUGCCCUCAGAGCAGAGGUUCCUAGCAGGUCUGAAACAUCCUGGGAUCUACCCCCAGCUCACCCUGCCCCCUUCACCUCCUGUUCCUUUUCCCUUUCACCACACAUCCCAGGAGGCUAAUGCACACUCAACAGCAGCACAAAAAGAAAGGAUCAUUAUUAUUUUUUCAUAAUUGUUCUUGUACCACAGAGGGACCAUUACAGUAUAAGCUAUCUUUUUGGAUUUCUAAGAGUUCCAGAAAAGGUGGUUUGACCAUCUCCUAGGAACUGUGGAAGAGAUUGUUAGAUUUGGUGGGGGGUUCGUUCUAACCAGAUAUUGCUACAGUUCUUCACAACACACAGUUGCAUGAUGUAAAGUGAGUCCAGUUUUUCAAUGUAGUUCAGCUCUCAAUUCUGUUUAUUUUAUUUAAGACUAUAUGAGCUUUGGAAAGUUAUUUGGCAUUGUCACACGACAGCAGCUUUGCUCCUAAUUAUACUCCCUAGAGAACGCUCAUGUGCAAAGGAGAGAUGUGGUAUUUGUAAUAGAAAAACAGCCCAAGCAAAUGUCCAUGCGCAGGAGAAUAAGCACUAAAUGCACACAGAGAGUCUUACAGAGGAGUACAUCUAUAUGAACCAUGGCACAUGUGGGAAAUAUGGAUGACUCUCAGAAUCCUGAUGCUAAGCACAACAAGCAGUCUGAAGGAGGAUAGUAUAGUAUGAUACCACAAAUAAUGUGCCAGUUGGAGCCCAGUAGGAAGCGGACAGCACAAUCAGAUGGAAUUCUAAAGAGACAGAAAAGAAGGGGUCAUUUAUAAGGCUGGCAGGGGUGGCUGGUUAUUUGAUGGCCACAUAUUCCUCCCAGCCCAUUGUGCAUUCCCCCUUUGCUGCUCCUUCCCUCCAAAUGUGGAAUCAAUUUUUCCAAUUCCUUUUAAUCUGUGCUGGGUUUGUGACUUGUUUUACUUGGGGGUGAAUUCCAGAGGCCUUUCAAAUUCUGUCCUUACCCUCUUGUAAUGUUUCUGACAUCAUGCAAAGAUGAUGUGUUAGCCUGCUAGAGGCCUUUUGGAGAAGAGAAAGACCCAACAACCAUCAGCCAGCACUACUCGGGGUGAUGUUAAUAGCCGGUAACUGUACAAAUGAGCCAAUCAACACCACGUUAAGCAGAACUGCCUAGCUGAGCCCAGCUGAAAUCACCAAUCUGCAGAACUGUGAACAGACCUUGAGGUGGUUGGUUAGGAGUACACAGUCAACAUACAAGAGUUAAGGGGCCAACAAGACGUUCUGAGGCCUCCAGGAACUAGCAGGAUGUGAAUUACCUGAAGGAGUAAGUACAGCCACAAAGGACGGGCUCUCAGGCAGGCCCCAGAACCACAGAUCUUCAGAGCCAUGGAAGCGGUGGAGCGGGGGAAGAAAGCCAGAGUGGGAGAGAUGUCUUCUGUUGGGGUCUGGCUUCUUGGGUACAGAAACGGAUCUGGGUAGGUGUAGAGGGCAAGCAGAGAGCAACCAGAACAUAUGAGCUCUUCAGAAAGUUCUAGUGUGUAUUAUGGAAAACUGUGCACGGAUUUCAAAAUUCUUUGCACCAAAAUAAACUCACACCUCUUAAUUCCAUUUCCCUCCAGACUGUUUGGAGUACAUGAGUGUGUUGUCCCUGAGCAGCAGGAACAAGGGUGUUUAAGGGAAUGAGAAACCUUCAAGGAGGACGGAAGUUGCCUCUGGGAAGGAAGGUUUUCUGGCAGCAGCCCUGCGACGAGUCUUGCUGGAAAUGGACCCUGCAGCCCCAGUGCAGCCCUCAGCACCAUGGCUGCAGCCAAUACCCUGCUACCUCGUGAGAGACCUAAGCAAGCCACUCUCACGCUCCUGAAUCAUCAAAACAAUGCCUAUUGUUUUAAUCCACCCAUUUUAGAGUAAUUUAUUAUGUAGCAAUAGACACUAAAGAGAGUAGUUCCUGAGGCCGACAUCGUGGAUUCCUGAUCCAGUUGGGAAGGCAGCAGAAGAUGGCCAAGUGCGUGGGCUGCUGCUUCACGGGAUUGGAAGUUGAGCAGUCAGCACACAAACCUGUCCUCAUGUGAUGCCACGGUUGCCGGCAUCACAGGGAGUGGUCUAACCAGCUGCACCACAACCCCAGCCCACGGGGCUAUUAGUAAGUAAAACAAGGAAUGCAAGCACUGUGUGCUCUAUUGGUCAUUCUGAUAACCAAGACGGCUACUAAGCGACUACCUUGUGGGUAACAAAUACACUGUGGAUACAUUGAACGUAGGGGAAACUCAGGAUGGAGCAGGACAAUAUGGCGUGAAAUCUACUUAGAAUGACAUGCAAUUAAACUUAUGAAUUAAAUAUUCUGGAAUUUUCCAUUUAACAUAUUUUUUUUGGAUCACAGUUCAUCUCAAGCAACUGAAACUGUAGAAAGUGACCUCAAAGAUAAGCUAGAUGAGCUGUGUAGCAGCAGAAGUGGGGAGGGAGGGAAACGAGUGUUAAUCAGGCUUGCCUGGCACCUGACCCUAUGCCAAGUUCUUUUGCAGAAGUCAUUUGUAUAAUUUAAGUCCUUGCAACCUCACCAUGAGAGCCUGGGCAAAUCUCCUUUCACACCCAGAGGAGAGGGCCAGAGCUUAAGUGGUUUCCCAGGCCCUGUUACUUGGACAGGGGCUGUUGCGUUUCAGACUCAAUCUGUCCACCUCCAGCAUCUGGGCCUGGAUAAAAGACCUUUUCUGGGACCAUGGCAGGCAGAUACGUUUUCCCAAACCUCUGUGUUCAUUGGUCCCUCCCUCCCUCGGUGUCUCCCUCCUUCCUAUUCCUUACAGUUGAAGUUGAGGGAAAAGGCGCCAAUGCUCUCUGCAACAUGUUGGCCUAAAAGGCAUGUUGAAGUACAGCAGCGUGAGUGAGGCAGGUCUUUUCUUUAAUAGCCCCCUCCCCCACCCCAGCACCUGGCAUAGGGGGCAGCCACAGGGCUCUGGUGAGUGAUAGGAGUGUUUUUCCAAAUACAGCUGUCAAAGCCAGGGCAAUCAUCCUGCCUCCUGCUUGGAAAGUGAUUUACAAUUUUCCUCUUUGGUGGCAUCCCAAGGCAAACAGGCACCUUUGUUUCCAUGGAGAACACACUCUUCCCUGUAAGGUUGCUUGGUUGCCCUUCCUCCCUGCCAUCUUUCCUUCUUCCUCCCUGUUUUCCUUGUUUGACAAUUCUCUCUCUCCUUCUCUCUCUCUCCCUCUCUCUCUCUCCUUUAUUUCCCCUCAGUUUUUCUUGAGUUCUCCUCCUUCCACUACAUCUCUGUCCCAAGGCCAAGCUUCUACUUCUCCUGCCCUGCUGGAAGUGUUCUCAGACUCCUCUGAGCACUGAGAAAUGUCCUCUUGGCCUUUGGGCUGUUUCUUGUUUCUCAAAGAGCUCAGAGCAGGGGUGAGAGCCCGCUCGGUUGCUUCAAUCUGGGUCCUAAGGCUGUGCAUCUGUGCAACCUUAGGCACCUCGUUUCACCUCUCACUUUCUUCACCUGCAAAAUGACAACAACCCUCCCAGGAGCUGCCCCAGAUAGUACGGGGCAGGGUUGUGGGGGGGAGUGUACAAAUAGAUUGCUUCCUGUGAGUCUACAACAUGUCUCUGCCUUCUAGGCCUGAAGUGUAUGGAGCAGCUCCUAAAAGCCUCCAAAAGGCAUAAGGGGAUCCCCUGUUGUUGAGGCCGGUGCUAGCAGGCCCUGUGUAGGCUGGGCCAGGUGGAGGGGGUGCGGCCCCUCUGGGGCCACUUUGUACCAAACUUGUGGGGCUUCAGAAGUGCCAGUGACCACUGAGAGCAGCGUCUGGGUGCUUCGAACAAAUAGGAAGUUGCGGCUCCUUUAAGAGACCACAUUUGCUCCCUGUGAGUGCGUGUGUGCUAUUGCCCAUGGGUGGGUGAGCGGGCAGCUUGAGCAGCCCCUUAGUGUGCUGUGUCAGGACACAGGCUCCAGCUGCGGAACAGGGAUCUCUGACACCGGGUCAGAACAUUAAGGUGUUCAGCUCUGCGUGGAUGAGGCUGGGCAGCUCAGUACCCUAAACGCAGCGCCCUGUGCUCACACAGCUAGCCUGGGGUGAGGCCUCUGCCUUGGAGUAGAUCUGUGUCUUUGUGGCUUUUGUCUGCUCUAAGCCGGGAUUGGGUGUCAGGCACCCAAGUUCAGGCUUUCCUGUAUUUCGAAGGUUUUGGUCCUACUUCCAGGUGUGUUCGUCACAGGUAAACACACGUACAUGCACCACACAGGGAAGGGGGGAUGAUGGAGGAGGCCUUGGAAGAACAGCUAGGGAGUGGGACGGAGUCCUUUUCUCUCUCCUGGCAGAAGUCCUCUAGUUCCUCAUGCAAUGGGACUGGGCUGCGGGUUGCUCUCAGAGCGCUGUACAAGAAAGACACAGUUAGCGGAACGACAAGCCGGGCAGCUCAAGCAAGGAAGAGAAGCUGAGCCUCCUCCUUCCUCCUUUAUUUGCCCAUUUAGUUCCUCGUAGGGAGAAGGCAGGAGCAUGAGGAAGGCGAUGAACGGUGGCUGAUCACCGCCUGUACUUCAAUUGGCUUCAAAUCUUAUCUCCCAUAGUCCUCACCAACGGCUCUUUAGUAGGCUGGUUACUGAGACUCAGGUUAACAAAUUUGCCCAAGCAGAGAGCAAGAUUUUGAACUGCAACUGUAUAGUUCAAUUCCUAACUCUGUGCUCUUUCCAGCAAACCCCAUUGCCUACAUGAGUCUUCUACAGAGAAUAUAGCAUUGUGGCCAAUGGGCUUCUUGUCAAGGAUCAUAAACUUGGAAUUCAAUCUAAAGUCACUAUUAUUCCAGGAAAAAAAAAAAGAAAAAGAAAAACCCUGAUGCCUGGCUCUUUUGAAAAAAAAAAAAAAAUCGCAUGCCUUCCUAAGAUGGGCUAUUAAUAUACAUUGUCAUUGACAUCAGUCUUGCAGGCUGGUUCUUUGGGAGAGCCAGGAUGUUGCUGAUUUGCAUACUGCUUUGCAUUCAUUUGCAUUCUCUCUCCAUAUGCAAAAUCAAACACAGUUAAUUAGUGCAACCUUGUUACAAUGAGAAGCAGGCCCAGCCUUCUGUGCCAGGGCAGAUGGAGCCCAGAACAGGGACUGAAACAACCCAAAGCCAGUCACGUCCUGGGUUGGACACGCCGGGAGGCUUGAGAGAGACACACACAGCCUGAAUGGAAAGCAGCAUAACGAAGUCUCGCUAUUUUUCAAAUAUUGUCCCUUUGAA
This is a non-coding RNA of Oryctolagus cuniculus (rabbit), 30355 nucleotides long. The record is from RefSeq and is a predicted model, not a curated record. Lineage: Eukaryota; Metazoa; Chordata; Mammalia; Lagomorpha; Leporidae.